Molecule: ribosomal RNA, 1086 nt
Filed under: Philometroides moraveci
Lineage: Eukaryota; Metazoa; Nematoda; Chromadorea; Rhabditida; Philometridae
Description: partial large subunit ribosomal RNA
Rfam family: Eukaryotic large subunit ribosomal RNA
Source: RNAcentral
GCCCAGCGCUAAAUCUGCCGAUUUCAAAAAUUGGUCAGAAAUGUGGCGUAUAGGUGUGAUUGAUUUGGUUCGUGCGUUUUUUCGUUCACCCUAAGUCCUCCUUGAUUGGGGCCACGGUCCAUAGAAGGUGCUAGACCUGUUCGGGUGGUGAAGCGUACGGGACCCGGUCACACUUUAGAGUCGAGUUGCCUGGGAUCGCAGCUCAAAGAAGGUGGUAGACUUCAUCUAAGGCUAAAUAUGGCCACGAGACCGAUAGCGAACAAGUACCGUGAGGGAAAGUUGAAAAGAACUGUGAAGAGAGAGUUAAAGAGGACGUGAAACCGCUGAGAUUGAAGCGGAUAGAGUUGACGAAACUUUGAUCAACAUUCAACCGAUUCAACGAAUAUCGUACGUUUGGCUUCAUGUACGCGACGAUACUCGCCCCUGACGUGUGUGUAUUUACGUAUGCAUGCGGCUGAGGCGUCGGUGUUCCGAAACGACAUGGCUACGUUUGCGAUUUGCUAACAAUUCGUUGUACGUGCGUGCGCGUGUGAAAAAAUCGGUGAUUUUGUUGAUGGUAUGCGUCGAGUGGCUUGUCAUAGUGUAUCAUUGCGUGAAGUGGAUAGCAGAUCAUCGUCGAUGAUUUUUGCAUAUCAUACUGAUUGAAUGAAUCUUGUCCUGCUUCAAUAAUUGCGCAAUUUUGAUAUCACAGAGAUAAGUUUAUGCUGUGUGUGGCAACUCGAUGUGAACGUCGAUCACCUAUCCGACCCGUCUUGAAACACGGACCAAGGAGUCUAGCACAUACGCGAGUCAAUGGGUAUAUCGAAAACCUAUAGGCGUAAUGAAAGUGAAAUAUGGUUGUGUCGUGCCGUUUGGCGCGCCAACGAUUGAUGUGCGAUUUGUUGAAGUCGGCGGCGGCUCGCGCUGCCUGCUUGGCAACAACGACGCAGCAUAGCCCCGUUUAUGUUGUCAGCCUUUAAUCGGGCUCACAACUGAUCGGAGGAAGAGCGUAUGCGCUGGUACCCGAAAGAUGGUGAACUAUGCCUGAGCAGGAUGAAGCCAGAGGAAACUCUGGUGGAAGUCCGAAGCGGUUCUGACGUGCAAAUC